GACGAACGCUGGCGGCGUGCCUAAUACAUGCAAGUAGAACGCACAGUUUAUACCGUAGCUUGCUACACCAUAGACUGUGAGUUGCGAACGGGUGAGUAACGCGUAGGUAACCUGCCUGGUAGCGGGGGAUAACUAUUGGAAACGAUAGCUAAUACCGCAUAAUAUUGAUUAUUGCAUGAUAAUUAAUUGAAAGGUGCAAUUGCACCACUACCAGAUGGACCUGCGUUGUAUUAGCUAGUAGGUGAGGUAACGGCUCACCUAGGCGACGAUACAUAGCCGACCUGAGAGGGUGAUCGGCCACACUGGGACUGAGACACGGCCCAGACUACUACGGGAGGCAGCAGUAGGGAAUCUUCGGCAAUGGACGAAAGUCUGACCGAGCAACGCCGCGUGAGUGAAGAAGGUUUUCGGAUCGUAAAGCUCUGUUGUAAGAGAAGAACGGGUGUGAGAGUGGAAAGUUCACACUGUGACGGUAUCUUACCAGAAAGGGACGGCUAACUACGUG
This 505-nucleotide ribosomal RNA is filed under the name uncultured bacterium. Its description in RNAcentral is "partial 16S ribosomal RNA". It matches the Rfam family "Bacterial small subunit ribosomal RNA", at positions 28 to 507 of the family's 1533-position model. The record is from RNAcentral.